RNAcentral lists this ribosomal RNA (771 nucleotides) under Staphylococcus epidermidis. RNAcentral's name for it is "bacterial SSU rRNA". It matches the Rfam family "Bacterial small subunit ribosomal RNA", at positions 23 to 776 of the family's 1533-position model. The record is from RNAcentral. Lineage: Bacteria; Bacillati; Bacillota; Bacilli; Caryophanales; Staphylococcaceae.
CUCAGGAUGAACGCUGGCGGCGUGCCUAAUACAUGCAAGUCGAGCGAACAGACGAGGAGCUUGCUCCUCUGACGUUAGCGGCGGACGGGUGAGUAACACGUGGAUAACCUACCUAUAAGACUGGGAUAACUUCGGGAAACCGGAGCUAAUACCGGAUAAUAUAUUGAACCGCAUGGUUCAAUAGUGAAAGACGGUUUUGCUGUCACUUAUAGAUGGAUCCGCGCCGCAUUAGCUAGUUGGUAAGGUAACGGCUUACCAAGGCAACGAUGCGUAGCCGACCUGAGAGGGUGAUCGGCCACACUGGAACUGAGACACGGUCCAGACUCCUACGGGAGGCAGCAGUAGGGAAUCUUCCGCAAUGGGCGAAAGCCUGACGGAGCAACGCCGCGUGAGUGAUGAAGGUCUUCGGAUCGUAAAACUCUGUUAUUAGGGAAGAACAAAUGUGUAAGUAACUAUGCACGUCUUGACGGUACCUAAUCAGAAAGCCACGGCUAACUACGUGCCAGCAGCCGCGGUAAUACGUAGGUGGCAAGCGUUAUCCGGAAUUAUUGGGCGUAAAGCGCGCGUAGGCGGUUUUUUAAGUCUGAUGUGAAAGCCCACGGCUCAACCGUGGAGGGUCAUUGGAAACUGGAAAACUUGAGUGCAGAAGAGGAAAGUGGAAUUCCAUGUGUAGCGGUGAAAUGCGCAGAGAUAUGGAGGAACACCAGUGGCGAAGGCGACUUUCUGGUCUGUAACUGACGCUGAUGUGCGAAAGCGUGGGGAUCAAACAGG